RNAcentral lists this long non-coding RNA (1080 nucleotides) under Cyanistes caeruleus (blue tit). RNAcentral describes it as "lncRNA (ENSCCEG00000003607.1)". The record is from RNAcentral. Lineage: Eukaryota; Metazoa; Chordata; Aves; Passeriformes; Paridae.
CUGGAACCCCGGGAUGCCCCCACCAGUACAAACCAGUACGGACCAGUUUGGGUCAGUUUGGACCAGUCUGAACCAUUUUGGGUCACUUUGGACCAGUUUGGACCAGUUUGGGCCACCUUGGACCACUUAGGAUCAGUUUGGCCCAGUUUGGCCCAGUACGGACCAGUUUGGCCCAGUUGGGAUCAGUUUGGACCAGUCUGAACCAUUUUGGUUCACUUUGGACCAGAACGGACCAGUUUGAACCAGUUUGGGCCACUUUGGCCCACUUUGGACCAGUUUGGACCAGUCUGAACCAUUUUGGGCCACUUUGGCCCAGUUUGGACCAGUCUGGACCAGUUUGACCCAGUCUGAACCAGUCUGAACCAUUCUGGACCAGUUUGGCCCAGUAUCUCUGAGUUCCCUGGACCAGUCUGAACCGGUUUGGACCAGUCCAGAUCAGUUUGGGCCAGUAAUUCCCAGUUUCCCUGGACCAGUCCGGACCAGUCUGGACCAGUUUGGACCAGCUUGCUCCAGUUCCCCUGACCAGUAUCCCCCAGUCCCCUGGACCAGUUUGGCCCAGUUUGGCCCAGUUUGGACCCAGAAUUCCCAGUUCCCUGGACCGGUCCGGACCAGUUUGGACUCGCAAUUCCCAGUUCCCUGGGCCAGUUUGGACCAGUUUGGCCCAGUUUGGACCCAGAAUUCCCAGUUCCCCUGGACCAGUCCGGACCAGUUUGGACCCAGAAUUCCCAGUUCCCCUGGACCAGUCCAGACCAGUUUGGCCCAGUUUGGCCCAGUUGCCCUGGACCAGUUUGGCCCAGUUUGGACCCAGAAUUCCCAGUUCCCUGGACCAGUUUGGACCAGUUUGGACCAGUCCAGACCAGUCUGGACCAGUUUGGGCCCAGAAUUCCCAGUUCCCCUGGACCAGUCCGGACCAGUUUGGCCCAGUUUGGCCCAGUUUGGCCCAGUUCCCCUGGACCAAUCCAUUCCCAGUCCAUCCCAGUCCAUCCCAGUCCAUCCCAGUUACCGAACGCCAGGGGGGAGGGGGGGGCUGGGAUCAUUGGGAGCCCCCCCGGGACCGCCCAGGCCCCGCCCCCUUUAACA